This 73-nucleotide transfer RNA is filed under the name Biomphalaria glabrata. It matches the Rfam family "tRNA". From Rfam's summary of the family: Transfer RNA (tRNA) molecules are approximately 80 nucleotides in length. The record is from Rfam by way of RNAcentral. Lineage: Eukaryota; Metazoa; Mollusca; Gastropoda; Planorbidae.
GUUGUUAUGAGUCUGAGUUGUAAAGCGCUUGUCUUCCGAACUGGGAUCCCGGGUUCGAAUCCCGGUGAAGACU